CCGGCGACCGGCGCACGGGUGAGUAACACGUAUGCAACCUGGCCGUGACAGAUGGAUAACCGGGAGAAAUCCCGCCUAAUACAACAUAAUGCCGGGAGGGGACAUCCCCUGCCGGCCAAAGGGGGCGACCCCGGUCACGGAUGGGCAUGCGGCGCAUUAGGUAGUUGGUGGGGCAACGGCCCACCAAGCCGACGAUGCGUAGGGGUUCUGAGAGGAAGGUCCCCCACAUUGGAACUGAGACACGGCCCAGACUCCUACGGAAGGCAGCAG
Molecule: ribosomal RNA, 270 nt
Filed under: uncultured bacterium
Lineage: Bacteria
Description: partial 16S ribosomal RNA
Rfam family: Bacterial small subunit ribosomal RNA
Source: RNAcentral